GGUUGAUCCUGCCGGACCCCACUGCUGUCGGGAUAGGACUAAGACCUGCUAGUCGCGCGCCUUCCAGCUAUGUGGGAGGAGCGGCGUACAGCUCAGUAACACGUGGCUAACCUGCCCUUGGGACGAGAUCACCCCCGGGAAACUGGGGCUAAUCCUCGAUAGGUGAAGAACUCUGGAAUGAGUCUUCGCCCAAAUACCAUUUGGAUCAUGCUUCCAGGUGGCGCCCAAGGAUGGGGCCGCGACCGAUCAGGUUGUUGGUGAGGUAAUGGCCCACCAAGCCUAUAACCGGUGCGGGCCGUGAGAGCGGGAGCCCGGAGAUGGGCACUGAGACAAGGGCCCAGGUCCUACGGGGCGCAGCAGUCGCGAAAACUUUGCAAUACACGAAAGUGUGACAGGGUUAUCCCGAGUGCCGACCGCUGAGGUUGGCUUUUACCCAGUCUAGAAAGCUGGGGGAAUAAGGAGAGGGCAAGUCUGGUGUCAGCCGCCGCGGUAAUACCAGCUCUCCGAGUGGUGUGGACGUUUAUUGGGCCUAAACCAUCCGUAGCUGGCCGAACAAGUCCCCUGUUAAACCCACCGAUUUAAUCGUUGGCUUGCGGGGGAUACUGCUCGGCUAGGGGACGAGAGAGGCAGACGGUAUUCCCGGGGUAGGGGUGAAAUCCUAUAAUCCCGAGAAGACCACCAGUGGCGAAGGCUGUCUGCUAGAACGCGCCCGACGGUGAGGGAUGAAAGCUGGGGGAGCGAACCGGAUUAGAUACCCGGGUAGUCCCAGCUGUAAACGAUGCAGACUAGGUGUUUGGACGGCCACGCGCCGUUCUAGUGCCGCAGGGAAGCUGUUAAGUCUGCCGCCUGGGGAGUACGAUCGCAAGAUUGAAACUUAAAGGAAUUGGCGGGGGAGCACCACAAGGGGUGAAGCUUGCGGUUUAAUUGGAGCAACGCCGGAAAUCUCACCGGGAGCGACAGCAGUGUGAAGGCCAGAUUAAAGGUCUUGCCAGACGAGCUGAGAGGAGCUGCAUGGCCGUCGCCAGUUCGUGCCGUGAGGUGUCCUGUUAAGUCAGGCAACGAUCGAGACCCGCGUCCUCUGUUGCAACCAGUCUUGUGCUGGGCACACUGAGGAGACCGCCACUGAUAAAGUGGAGGAAGGAGCGGGCCACGGCAGGUCAGUAUGCCCCGAAUCUCCCGGGCCACACGCGAGCUGCAGUGG
RNAcentral lists this ribosomal RNA (1201 nucleotides) under metagenome. RNAcentral describes it as "bacterial SSU rRNA". It matches the Rfam family "Archaeal small subunit ribosomal RNA", at positions 6 to 1189 of the family's 1478-position model. The record is from RNAcentral.